UCUCUGUAGGGGAACCUGCAGAGGGAUCAAUAACGAAUGAAUGGGGGAGGGGAGGGAGGAGAGUCCGGUAAGGAUUCGAUUCUCUCUUUUUCCUGGUAGAUGUGGAGAGGAGAAAUUUUCUCCUUUCUCAUCUCAUUGACCCGAGGGGGAGGGGGGGAAGGAUUUUCCCUUCUCUUCCUUGGUGCCAUUGUCGGGAGACGAUGGCUGAAAACCAAACGAAAAUCAUUAGAGACAAAAAAAACCCCUAACAACGGAUCUCUUGGCUCUU
RNAcentral lists this unclassified non-coding RNA (268 nucleotides) under soil metagenome. RNAcentral's name for it is "partial internal transcribed spacer 1". The record is from RNAcentral.